RNAcentral lists this ribosomal RNA (229 nucleotides) under uncultured bacterium. RNAcentral's name for it is "partial 16S ribosomal RNA". It matches the Rfam family "Bacterial small subunit ribosomal RNA", at positions 568 to 796 of the family's 1533-position model. The record is from RNAcentral.
CACGUAGGCGGAUUAGAAAGUAUGGGGUGAAAUCCCAGGGCUCAACCCUGGAACUGCCUCAUAAACUCCUAGUCUAGAGUUCGAGAGAGGUGAGUGGAAUUCCGAGUGUAGAGGUGAAAUUCGUAGAUAUUCGGAGGAACACCAGUGGCGAAGGCGGCUCACUGGCUCGAUACUGACGCUGAGGUGCGAAAGUGUGGGGAGCAAACAGGAUUAGAUACCCUGGUAGUCC